AACACAUGCAAGUCGAACGAGCGAGAGAGAGCUUGCUUUCUCAAGCGAGUGGCGAACGGUUGAGUAACGCGUGAGGAACCUGCCUCAAAGAGGGGGACAACAGUUGGAAACGACUGCUAAUACCGCAUAAGCCCACGGGUCGGCAUCGACCAGAGGGAAAAGGAGCAAUCCGCUUUGAGAUGGCCUCGCGUCCGAUUAGCUAGUUGGUGAGGUAAUGGCCCACCAAGGCGACGAUCGGUAGCCGGACUGAGAGGUUGAACGGCCACAUUGGGACUGAGACACGGCCCAGACUCCUACGGGAGGCAGCAGUGGGGAAUAUUGCACAAUGGGGGAAACCCUGAUGCAGCGACGCCGCGUGGAGGAAGAAGGUCUUCGGAUUGUAAACUCCUGUUGUUGAGGAAGAUAAUGACGGUACUCAACAAGGAAGUGACGGCUAGCUACGUGCCAGCAGCCGCGGUAAAACGUAGGUCACAAGCGUUGUCCGGAAUUACUGGGUGUAAAGGGAGCGCAGGCGGGAAGACAAGUUGGAAGUGAAAUCUAUGGGCUCAACCCAUAAACUGCUUUCAAAACUGUUUUUCUUGAGUAGUGCAGAGGUAGGCGGAAUUCCCGGUGUAGCGGUGGAAUGCGUAGAUAUCGGGAGGAACACCAGUGGCGAAGGCGGCCUACUGGGCACCAACUGACGCUGAGGCUCGAAAGUGUGGGUAGCAAACAGGAUUAGAUACCCUGGUAGUCCACACCGUAAACGAUGAUUACUAGGUGUUGGAGGAUUGACCCCUUCAGUGCCGCAGUUAACACAAUAAGUAAUCCACCUGGGGAGUACGACCGCAAGGUUGAAACUCAAAGGAAUUGACGGGGGCCCGCACAAGCAGUGGAGUAUGUGGUUUAAUUCGACGCAACGCGAAGAACCUUACCAAGUCUUGACAUCCCUUGACGAACAUAGAAAUAUGUUUUCUCUUCGGAGCAAGGAGACAGGUGGUGCAUGGUUGUCGUCAGCUCGUGUCGUGAGAUGUUGGGUUAAGUCCCGCAACGAGCGCAACCCUUACUGUCAGUUACUACGCAAGAGGACUCUGGCAGGACUGCCGUUGACAAAACGGAGGAAGGUGGGGAUGACGUCAAAUCAUCAUGCCCUUUAUGACUUGGGCUACACACGUACUACAAUGGCGUUAAACAAAGAGAAGCAAGACCGCGAGGUGGAGCAAAACUCAGAAACAACGUCCCAGUUCGGACUGCAGGCUGCAACUCGCCUGCACGAAGUCGGAAUUGCUAGUAAUCGUGGAUCAGCAUGCCACGGUGAAUACGUUCCCGGGCCUUGCACACAGCGCCCGUC
Molecule: ribosomal RNA, 1327 nt
Filed under: uncultured bacterium
Lineage: Bacteria
Description: bacterial SSU rRNA
Rfam family: Bacterial small subunit ribosomal RNA
Source: RNAcentral